AGAGACUUAGGUUAAAUAAACCAAGAGCCUUCAAAGCCCUAAACAGAGAUAUUCACCCUCUAGCCUCUG
RNAcentral lists this transfer RNA (69 nucleotides) under Teratoscincus microlepis (Small-scaled wonder gecko). RNAcentral describes it as "tRNA-Trp". Lineage: Eukaryota; Metazoa; Chordata; Lepidosauria; Squamata; Sphaerodactylidae. The record is from RNAcentral.